UCUCCGUUGGUGAACCAGCGGAGGGAUCAUUACUGAGUGAGGGUCUCCGGGCCCGACCUCCAACCCUUUUGUGAACCACCUCGUUGCUUCGGGGGCGACCCUGCCGUUCGCGGCGUGGGGCCCCCGGAGCCCAUCAAACCCUGCGUAACUAAGUCGUCGGAGUUUAAACAAAUUAAACAAAACUUUCAACAACGGAUCUCUUGGUUCGGGCAUCGAUGAGAACCAGC
Molecule: unclassified non-coding RNA, 227 nt
Filed under: uncultured fungus
Lineage: Eukaryota; Fungi
Description: sequence contains ITS1, 5.8S rRNA gene
Source: RNAcentral